Molecule: long non-coding RNA, 1153 nt
Organism: Orcinus orca (killer whale)
Lineage: Eukaryota; Metazoa; Chordata; Mammalia; Artiodactyla; Delphinidae
Exons: 3
Source: RefSeq, a predicted model, not a curated record
CCCACCCUUUUGGUUGUUUGACCUGAGGCUUCCCAGCACUGGAGCCUACAGCGGGCGUUGGCUGGGGCCGGGUUCUGGCCCCCAAGUGGCGGCCUCCAGGGAAGCUCAUGCUGAUGAUUAUUACCCAGUACCUCUGCCGCCAGUGUCUUUGUCCCCACAGUGAGCCCCAGGAGACCCCUGCCUCUCCAGAAGACCCUCCAAGACCAGCAGCAUUAAAAUGUGAACGGGGCCUCCUGGACUUGCUGAUGCAGUGUUCCCACCCACCCCGGCCAUCUGCGUGGAUACACCAGAGCCCUUAUGCUUGUUCAGGUGGACCCCAUACUCCUCCUGCCUGUCCUCAUCUGUGUUGUCUAGACCACGGUUGGCACCUGACCCACUCUCCAAAACUGAAAUGGGACUAAGUGGUUCCUACCCCAGGCUGGUUGCUUUCUUGAGGGGAAGAGAUAUAAACACUGGAGCUGAUGGAUGCAGUAAUCUGCCACCUCAACGGGAAAACAAAGGCAUUGUACUUAACAGCAUAGUUCCAGAAGCUGCCUAUCAGUCUGAUUCUGCCUUCGCUGAGGAACCCGUCAUCUGCUUGUGCAACAUCACUCAUGGGCCAUCAGACAAGUUGGACAAAGAAUCACUUAUGUAACUACCAUCCCCCCAAAAUAUUUCCAUGUGCACCUUUGUGGUCAAUCCUUUAUCCUCUCCUUUGAUUCGUAGCCCUUGGCAACCUCUGAUCUAAUCUCUGCCUUUGUAAUUGUGUCACUUUAAAAAUGUCACAUAAAUGGAAUUUUGCACCUGACUUCUUCCGCUUAGAAGAAUGUGCUGAUGUUCAUCCGUGUUGGAGCAGGUAUGUAGUUCUUUUUAUUCUUGAAUAGAAAUCCACUGUAUGGAUGUACAGUAGCUGUUGUUUUUUAAUUGAAGAAUAGUUGAUUUACAACGUUGUGCUAAUUUCUACUAUACAGCAAAGUGACUCAGUUAUACACAUAUAUAUACAUUCUCUUUUAAAAUAUUCUUUUCCAUUAUGGUUUAUCCCAGGAGACUGGAUAUAGUUCCCUGUGCUAUACAGUAAGACCUUGUUGUUUAUCCAUUCUAAAUGUAAUAGUUUGCAUCUACCAAGCCAAACUUCCAGUCCAUCCCUCUCCCUCCCCCCUCCUCCUUGGCAACC